GUCAUCUGCCACCUUGGGCAGAGACCUGACAAAAGGAUACUGGCAGGUCCCAGUAGCACCCAAAGAUCAAGAAAAGACAACAUUCACCAUGCCUUGGG
Molecule: long non-coding RNA, 98 nt
Organism: Gavialis gangeticus (Gharial)
Lineage: Eukaryota; Metazoa; Chordata; Crocodylia; Gavialidae
Exons: 3
Source: RefSeq, a predicted model, not a curated record